Molecule: long non-coding RNA, 221 nt
Filed under: Brassica napus (rape)
Lineage: Eukaryota; Viridiplantae; Streptophyta; Magnoliopsida; Brassicales; Brassicaceae
Description: long non-coding RNA (BNAP_LNC015682)
Source: RNAcentral
UUAUUAAAAAAAUAAUUUCAAAAAUGAAAAGGGCAAAAUCGGAUAUUCAUGUUUCAUUAAAGCAAUGAGGGUAUAGGAGAUUUGAGAGGCCCAUAGGAGAAUGUCUCUAGAGAUAUGGGGGCAUGGGAGAAGUUGGCUCCUUUCAUAUGGACCCUCCAUGCAGAUUUGAAAGGCUUAAGAUCACUCAAGUUGCUGAUUUUAAUUAUGGAAUCCAUAAGGGU